This is a non-coding RNA of Paramuricea clavata, 73 nucleotides long. The record is from the annotation of a GenBank genome assembly. NCBI's taxonomy places the organism in Eukaryota, Metazoa, Cnidaria, Anthozoa, Malacalcyonacea, Plexauridae.
GACUUCGUUUCUCAGUUGGUGGAGCAUUGGACUGACAAACCAAAGGUCGUGGGUUUGAUCCCCACAGUGGUCA